UAACGCGAAAAACCUUACCUGGUCUUGACAUCCCGCUGGAUAUCCGGCAAUGCGGAUAGGCCCUUAUGGGACAGCGGAGACAGGUGGUGCAUGGUUGUCGUCAGCUCGUGUCGUGAGAUGUUGGGUUAAGUCCCGCAACGAGCGCAACCCUUAUCCUUAGUAGCCAGCAUUUAAGGUGGGCACUCUAGGGAGACUGCCGGGGAUAACCCGGAGGAAGGCAGGGAUGACGUCAAAUCAUCAUGCCCCUUAUGGCCAGGGCUACACACGUGCUACAAUGGCGUAAACAAAGGGAAGCGGACCGGCGACGGCGAGCGAAUCCCAGAAAUAACGUCCCAGUUCGGAUUGUAGUCUGCAACCCGACUACAUGAAGCUGGAAUCGCUAGUAAUCGCGGAUCAGAA
This 399-nucleotide ribosomal RNA is filed under the name uncultured Butyrivibrio sp. Its description in RNAcentral is "bacterial SSU rRNA". It matches the Rfam family "Bacterial small subunit ribosomal RNA", at positions 957 to 1354 of the family's 1533-position model. Lineage: Bacteria; Bacillati; Bacillota; Clostridia; Lachnospirales; Lachnospiraceae. The record is from RNAcentral.